Molecule: ribosomal RNA, 458 nt
Filed under: uncultured bacterium
Lineage: Bacteria
Description: bacterial SSU rRNA
Rfam family: Bacterial small subunit ribosomal RNA
Source: RNAcentral
GAUGAAUGCUGGCGGCGUGCCUAAUACAUGCAAGUCGAGCGGUAAGGCCCUUCGGGUACACGAGCGGCGGACGGCUGAGUAACGCGUGGGAACAUGCCCCAAAGUGAGGGAUAACGCACCGAAAGGUGUGCUAAUACCGCAUAUGGUCUUCGGAUUAAAGGAUUUAUCCGCUUUGGGAGUGGCCCGCGUACGAUUAGAUUGUUGGUGAGGUAACGGCUCACCAAGUCGACGAUCGUUAACUGGUCUGAGAGGAUGAUCAGUCAGACUGGAACUGAGACACGGUCCAGACUCCUACGGGAGGCAGCAGUAAGGAAUCUUCCACAAUGGGCGAAAGCCUGAUGGAGCAACGCCGCGUGCAGGAUGAAGGCCCUCGGGUCGUAAACUGCUUUAUGAGUGAAGAAUAUGACGGUAACUCACGAAUAAGCACCGGCUAACUACGUGCCAGCAGCCGCGGUAAU